UGGGGGAAGCACAGGGCUGUGUCCCCGGCGCCCUGGGCUCCGGGGCCUGUGCUGCUGGAAUCGUGCUCCUGCCGGGCAGCCCCCU
This 85-nucleotide microRNA precursor is filed under the name Canis lupus familiaris (dog). RNAcentral describes it as "mir-8799 microRNA precursor family". It matches the Rfam family "mir-8799 microRNA precursor family". The record is from Rfam by way of RNAcentral. Lineage: Eukaryota; Metazoa; Chordata; Mammalia; Carnivora; Canidae. RNAcentral also lists the same sequence under 1 other name.